AGAGUUUGAUCCUGGCUCAGAACGAACGCUGGCGGCGUGCUUAACACAUGCAAGUCGAACGCGAACGGGACUUCGGUUCCUAGUAGAGUGGCGCACGGGUGAGUAACGCGUAGAUAACCUGUCUUUAUGUCUGGAAUAACACACCGAAAGGGGUACUAAUGCCGGAUAUUCCUGCAUUUCAUAAGUAUUGCAGGGAAAGGUGGCCUCUGAUUCAAGCUACUGCAUAGAGAGGGGUCUGCGUACCAUUAGCUAGUAGGUGGGGUAAUGGCCUACCUAGGCGACGAUGGUUAGCGGGUCUGAGAGGAUGAUCCGCCACACUGGCACUGAAAUACGGGCCACACUCCUACGGGAGGCAGCAGUGAGGAAUAUUGCGCAAUGGGGGAAACCCUGACGCAGCGACGCCGCGUGAGUGAGGAAGGCCUUCGGGUCGUAAAGCUCUGUCAAGAGGGAAGAAGUGCAUGGCAGUUAAUACCUGCCAUGUUUGACGGUACCUCUAAAGGAAGCACCGGCUAACUCCGUGCCAGCAGCCGCGGUGAUACGGAGGGUGCAAGCGUUGUUCGGAAUUACUGGGCGUAAAGGGCGCGCAGGCGGCCUGCCAAGUCAGAUGUGACAUCCCACGGCUUAACUGUGGACGUGCAUUUGAGACUGGUGGGCUUGAGUACCAGAGGGGAAAGUGGAAUUCCCGGUGUAGAGGUGAAAUUCGUAGAUAUCGGGAAGGAAUAGCGGUUGGCGAAUGCGACUUUUCUGGCUGGAUACUGACCCUGAGGGCGCGAAAGCGUGGGGGAGCAAACAGGGAUUACAUACCCCUGU
RNAcentral lists this ribosomal RNA (810 nucleotides) under uncultured bacterium. RNAcentral's name for it is "bacterial SSU rRNA". It matches the Rfam family "Bacterial small subunit ribosomal RNA", at positions 8 to 791 of the family's 1533-position model. The record is from RNAcentral.